RNAcentral lists this long non-coding RNA (497 nucleotides) under Amphimedon queenslandica. RNAcentral's name for it is "uncharacterized LOC109580567". Lineage: Eukaryota; Metazoa; Porifera; Demospongiae; Haplosclerida; Niphatidae. The record is from RNAcentral.
GAUAGAAGAAGUAUAAUAGUAAAUGAAGCGGCAUAAAGCAAUGCAGCGUCUAUUGUAAAGAUACUCACCGCUUUUCUCAAAUACACGGACUUGGCGAAGGGAAAGAGAGAGUUGUAUCAUGUAAAGCAGGACCUAGUAGGCAGGAUAUGAAAGAAUGAAGAGGCAGAAGUCAGUGAAGAAGAUGCUACGAGUAGAAACACCACUGUGACUGGUCGAGAAGCCAUGGUUGCUAAGCCGUUGCUAAGCAAAAUGUGGCCACACCUACCGCUUUUCUCCAUUGAAAUGUUAGGCAAAGCAGCUCUCUCUAGCCGCUCGCCUUUUCUACUCACUUCUAGAGGAUUUCACAAGCCAAAGUUUGGGUCGCGCUACUGGACUUUUCUACCUAUAUACUCUGUUUUUAGUCUUUGACAAUGUUAUAUAUGUUAGAGAGAUGAAAGGAGAACCUUUUAAAGCUAUCUAGAAUGUUAUAUUUCCAUAAAUAAAAAAGAAAAUAACAA